CCCAUGGAUUUUUAUAGAAAUUCUCGUUGCAAAACGAGUUUGUCGAAGCAUCUUACGGUAUUCUAUAAUGGAAACCCUGAGAAACGAGAAGAAGUGAGAAACAUUUUUGCUUAUAACUUUGUUAACACAAAAGCUCGAUAGAACAAUUCGGGUAUCAUAUAAAAACAGAAAAAUCUAUUGAAUUUGCACGUGAAGAGAUGUUAAUAAAAAUACGAUAGAGUCCCUAGCGAGUGCCCUAGAUUGCUCUAUUGAAUUUUCCUCUACGUGUUGGUUCAUCCCUCCAGGAAGCAAUAGACUUGGAAGCCGUUCGACGAAAGUUCCUUAUUUUUAUUACACGGUUGAAGCGUCAAUUUAUUUCUUAACGGGCAAUUAUGAAGCCCCAGGCGGGAAAAAAUAAAGUUGAGUUAUCAAGACAGCUCGCUUCGCAGAUAGAAUUCUCGUUGGACGAAGUGGAACAUUUACAGGUUAUUUAUAUGUAAGAGUUGACUGAUUAAUCAGAGGAAUUUUAAUACGGGCCUUUCACCUUUCAGUUUUUGAGUUCAAUGAACUGUUGGGUGCUUGACGACGGACAUAUGCUAAAUGAUGAUUAUUAUGCGACGUGGAAAAACUUGUCAAUUCUAGACGCAGGAUGAGGGUAGACUCAUCAUCAUCCUGGUCUAGUAGCAUUUACCUUCUAUAUUUUUUUUUCGUUCGGUGAAUUUUUCGUAGACUACUACAAUGAAAGGGCUCUGUGAAAAUUCUGAUUUUGGCAGGAUAUGAAAGAAUGGGCUUACAAAAUAUUUUCCAUCUUCAUUUCCCUCUCAUAAUUAAAAUUGUGACAAAUUUUUUUUUGUAAUGUAAUAUUAAAUUGCAUAGGGGAGGUGCAUAUAAUAAUCUUUCAGAUCAGCGAAAAAUCUAAAAGCCUUAAUGAAAGAUAGAGUUUAGCAACAAUCCCGGCUCCUAAUUAAUGAAUUAAUUAAAAAACUGUGACUCGGCAACGGAUAAUGCACGGAUAAUGAAUCCGCUUUGAAUUGAUUCAUACUAAUAAGGAUGUUCGUGUAGGUGCAGAGGAACAAUCGCUCUUUCCAUUCGGUACCGCCCUCCAUAAAGCAAACUUUCAAUUUUCGUCGCAUUACGAUAUCAAAUAAAAUUCAAAAGAGCAGCAGAAAAACGCUAGUAAAAUUUACGAUGUGGAUCCUACUGUUGGCAUGGAUUGCAAAACCACGAAAAUUUGCAAAAUGUUACAAUUUACGAGUGGGAGGUGACGGCUAAUGAAUUUAAAUCUCUUUGACUACACUCAUAUAUUAAUGAGUUGGUCGAUAAGCAUCUACACGCCCAUUUGAUACCUUCCAUUAUAAGGCAAAUAUUUAAUUUUAUUGCAUUAAGGUAUCAAAUAAAAUGCAAGCAACAGUAGUAGGCGUACAUAUUUAGCCCUAUCAGCAUGGCUUUGCGACAUGGACGGAGCUGAUAUGAAUACCAAAAGAGCCGACAAUAUGAUAAAUUCAGAGCCAGUCUAGGAAUUUAAAAUUUAAAAAAAGACUACCGGAAGCCUAUGGUGUAAACUCAAAUUCAGAAGAAAAAUGAAUAUCUCUAAAAUAGCACCAUCAGAUCUCAAUGAAAACAUUUUAAACGCGACAUAUCUACAUUUAUUCCCAAUUAACAAGAAAAAUUUUAAUUUUAAACACUCGAUUAUUUGCACAAAUGUAGUACCCAGUAUUGUGGUAAAAAUUUUGUUUAUUAUUUUUGACUGCAAUGGGAUAUCUACAUUUUACAGUAUUUAUUUUUCAUUUCAAGAUAAGGAGCACCGCAUUUCCUGCUCAUGUGUAUUUUCUUUCCAUCAUUUUGAUGACACGUGAUCGAUACGUAAAUCGAUAAGAGUUUGUUCAUAAUAUUGGGAAUUAGAAUUUUACAACUUAUAAUUUUUGUAAUUAGUAUAACUUUUGGAAGGUAAAUAUCCAUUCUAGCUACACCUCUCCACACGUUAUGAGGCAAAUAAUUCAUUUAAACAACAAAAUCACUUGGCAAAUAUUAGUAAUGAAUUUUACGCAAAAAAGUUCUGGCUUCGUACCUUGUCAAUUGUCAAAAUCACUCAA
Molecule: long non-coding RNA, 2072 nt
Organism: Diachasmimorpha longicaudata
Lineage: Eukaryota; Metazoa; Arthropoda; Insecta; Hymenoptera; Braconidae
Exons: 2
Source: RefSeq, a predicted model, not a curated record